Rattus norvegicus (Norway rat) is the source of this 30127-nucleotide non-coding RNA. The record is from RefSeq and is a predicted model, not a curated record. Lineage: Eukaryota; Metazoa; Chordata; Mammalia; Rodentia; Muridae.
CCCUAAGCUUCAGUUCUUGCUUCAAUUCCUGCUUCAGAGCUUUAAAUCUGUACAUUCCUCUCAAUUAACGAGAUGUUGACAACAGAACCUUGCUUGGUCUCCUUCUUUUUUCCCCCUUGACCCUCAGGUAGCACCUCUUUGGGACCCUGAAUAAAUGGACCUGCUGGACGGGUCUCGUGGCGGCCAAACAGGGACCUGAAGCAGAGCCAACUACCGGACGACAGAGACAAAGGAUCCACAGAGGAGAAGUUGAGGACUCUUCAGGCCGCAUCGCUCAUGCGUCGCUGGAGAGGGAGGUAAAAAUGCCAGCCAAAUAAUUGUCGUCCGAUUAUCAUGGGGAAGCAAUUAUCUACAGAAGCUUGUUUCAUAGAAGAGAUCAAGUGCUCACUCAAGGAGAGAGGAAUAAGAGUUAAGAAAAAAGGAUCUCAUUAAAUUUUUUUGUCGUUGUGUCAGAAACUUGUCUUUGAUUUAUUAUUGAAGGACCAGAAAUUAGCUCCUAUAGUUGGGACAAGGUUGGAAAGUGUUGAAAUGACUUAUUGUAAGAAAAAGGAUCCGAAGCCGUUCCGAUUCAGGAAAUAGCAUCUGUGUCUUUCUGUUUUUGUGUUUUUUGCUGGCUAAACUCUGGGUCUGUAUUUGCUACUCUGGGUCUGUAUUUGCUUGUGAGUUCUGGAGUUCUGGUUUAGCAAUUGCUCCCAUCUCGGGCUGAGAGGGAGGCUCAUGUCUCAGGAGAGAUGCAAAUGUGAGCGGUAGAUGUGCCAGGGGCUCACCGAUUGCUGCCCUGGGUGAUGUCCCAGGAGGUGAGAAGGGACCCCAGGGAUGCCUGGGAGAUUCCCAUCUUGGUGCCAGUGAGGAUUAGAUGAUUCUCAUGGAUUGGAGAAAAGGCCCGUCUUUCCCGCUGUCUGUAUUUACAUAGUGGUCUUUGCCUGCGUGUCUUAGAUCUUUGUUUUGUGUUACUUGUGACUUUGACAAUGGGAAGAUUCUGGUUAGGAAGGAGGAGUGCUGUGGAAUCUGCUCCCCUUAAUCUCUCCUUGGUGAGCUCAUGGAAGCUCCCAUCUGAAUCAGUUCAGGUUUUGUGGCAAUCUUGCAGCAGCCGCUUUGUUUUUGUUUUUAUCUGCACUUUUGGUUUUUUUGUUUGUUAAUCUUUUGAUUGUCUUUCUGGGUGACUGAAUGCUUUUGCCCUCUUCAGUGGACCUCUAUUUCCUGACCCUCUUCUUGUUUUCUCACCAUCCCACUUGAGAUUCUUGUUGGUACCUGUUACAGGAAAUCUAUAAUGCUCACUUGAGGAGUGUGCUUUAGAAACAAGAAUUUCAUGUUUGCUCUGGGUUCCAUCAGGAUAGGUGUGGGGAUAAGCUUGAUCUCUAUUGCAAAUGAUGUCACAUUGCAUAUGUUAGUACUCCUUACACUUCUUGGGACUGUGCCUCAGGGAUCACAACCUGUAUAAGUUUAGAAGUUCUAAAAGGCAGUCAUGACCUUUGUGUGUAGUUUCAGAUAGUAUCCAGAUUGGAAUCCUGAUGCUAAAGAUUUACCAAGACACAAAAGAGAGUUGAGAAUUACUUAGGGCUAUCUUUAGGCUGAAUCUAGGUGCUGCGAGGGCAGCUACAAGGACAUCUGCUGUUGCCCUGCAUCACAAGGCUUAUGGAGAAUUCAGGACUGCCAUUGACUUAGAUAUAAAUAAAAAAGACUUUUUAGCUGACCUCCAAGAAUCCCUAAACCCCCUCUCAGAGAUAGUCCUUCAGAAUAAAAGAAGAUUAUACCUGAUAACCUUAAAGAAGGAGGUCUGUGUGCUACACUAAAAGAAAAAUGUUGCUUCUAUGUAGACCAUUCAGAACUAAUUAAAGACUCCAUAAGUAAACCUAAGACAAGGUUAGACAAAAGACAGAGAGACAAAAGUGCAUCAGGGAUGGUUCAAGAGCUUAUUUAGUAUAUCUCCUUGGAUGACUACUCUGACAUCUUCCCUUAUAGGACCCUUCUUAAUUUUGCUUCUGCUUCUUGAUAUAGGUCCAUGUGUGUUAAAUAAGCUAGUUACCUUCAUUAGAGAAAGAGUAAGUGCUGUUCAGAGUUUGAUGUUACGUCAGCAACAUCAUGCUUUAAUUUAGUUCUAUGAUUAGAACUAGCCACUAGAAGAAGUGGGGGAUGAAAGGUAAAAGUUUUAAAGUUGUCCCCCCUAGACACAAAGUUUAGAGCAGAAGAAACAGCUUAGGCCCCAGAAUUGUAUGUUCCAGGAAGCUUCUUCUAGGAUUAUAGAAUGUGUAAUUACAUUGGCUGGUUUGACAACUCUCUCCCAGGAACUAGCUGACCAUAAAUUUAGAUUAAAAUCUUAGAGAACAAUCUUUAGAUGCAGGAAGCUUCUCUCAGGAAUUAGCAGACCAUAAAGUUAAACAAUCUUGAGAAACAGGAAGCUCCUCCUUGUGAUUUUUCACUGGUAUUCUCGACAUUUUCCAAUGAGGUCCUUCCUACACCCUCUUCUCCAACAGCAGGUUUUUGGCAGCAAUAUCCUCUUUACUGGAUAUAUUUACCUGCCUCUUCUACUAGGGUCCUUCCCACCUAUCCCUUGCUCGUGGCACAAAUCAUAUGUCUUGGAAGAGAACAGUCCCAUAAGCUCUUUGGAAGGGACCCCGAUGCUUUAAUAUUACCCUAUAGCCCCUCCCAGCUCUCUUGUCUCAGUCAACAUGUAGAUGAGUGGUCAAUUAGCUGCAUUGCCUUUCAGGGUAAGAUAGAUAAUCAUUACUCCUCAGAUAAGUUGAUACAGUUUUCCAAAGGUAACAUGUGAUCACCCUAUGUCAGGAGUCCACCUUGUUUUACAGACGGCUCCUCUAAUGGACAAGCUGCAUUUUCCAUUGAUGGUCAAAUAAAACAGUUCUCUAUUCCUUUAGAUUCCGCUCAGCUGGUAGAGCUUCAAGCUAUCCUCGAAGUAUUUCGUGCGCUGCCUGAUGCACCCUUUAACCUAUAUACGGAUAGCUGAUAUCUUGCCUUUUCUAUCCCCCAGUUAGAAACAGUGCCCUAUAUUCGGCCUACCACCAAUUCUUACCCCUGUUUUCCAGCUUACAAAAGAAUAUUCAGAGGCAUCCUUGCCCCUUCUUUCUGGGACACAUCCGAGCACAUACUGGAUUGCCAAGCCCCUUGGCUGAUGGUAAUGAUGCCGUUGAACGCCUCACCUGGCUCGUGGCCUUGGCCUUCUCUAUGCCCCUUACACUUGCCCAAAAAGCACAUAACUUACAGCACCUUAAUGCACACACACUUAGGAUUAAAUAUAAGAUCACCCGUGAACAGGCUUGCCAAAUAGUCCGUAAUUGCAAAGGCUGUGUGACCCUACUGCCUGACCCCCACCUAGGGGUCAACCCCCAUGGGCUGGUUCCUGGAGAGUUCUGGCAAAUGGUUGUCACCCAUCUUCCCUCCUUUGGUAAAUUAAAAUAUAUUCAUGUCACCAUUGAUAGCUUUAGUGGCUUUAUCUAUGCAUCCCUGCAGAGAGGGGAGGCCACCAAAGAUGUUAUAAAUCAUGUUCUGGCUUGCCUCACAGUUUUACCUCAACCUAAGAUUGUUAAAACAGAUAAUGGACCUGAAUAUACUAGUUCUAAUUUUAAAGACUCUUGUUCCCAACUCGGAAUUAAACAUGUCACGGGCAUUCCUUAUAAUCCCAGCAACAGGGUAUAGUUGAAAGAACUCACCACACCCUUAAAAAUAUGAUCCAUAAAUUACAGUCAAAUGGGGGAAUAUUAUUCCCCCUCCCUGGUAAUCACAAAAAUUUAAUAAAUCAUGCACUCUUUGUCCUUAACUAACUUGUCAUGGAGAAGGAUAGAAAAACUGCAGCAGACCGCCUAUGGCACCCCCAUAAUUCUUAUGGUUAUGCACCAGCCCUAUGGAAGGGCCCAUUAACAUCCCAAUGACAUGCCCCUGAUCUGGUCCUCAUUUGGGGACAGGGAUCAGCCUGCAUUUAUGAUUCAAAGACUGGGGGCGCCUGUUGGCUAACCAAGUGCCUUGUUAAGGCCUUUAACCCACCCAGGGGACAACCCUGAGGAAAAGUCUAACUGUGCUUAAUUACAGAUCAUGCUGACCAUGUUUCCCUUCAUCUGGAUCCCUGGAAACAUCAUCAGGUCUGCCCUUGCUACAUUGCCUCGUCAGACCUUCAACUAUACCUGGGUGAUUCUUAAUGGCGCCAGAGAUGUGGUGUCUGCCAACUCCACCACCGCUGCACAAGUUCCUUGGCCCAAUCUUGAGUUCCUGAAGUUCUGGGAAAGAGGCACCUCCACUCGUACAAAGAGAGAACCCAUCACUGCUGUGACUCUUGCAGUACUCCUAGGCCUGUCACUUGUGGGGACAGGAACUGGGGUUGCCUCCCUUAUCACCUCCCAACAGAGUUAUCAUCAGCUCAAUGCCACCAUAGACAGGGAUAUCAGUGAGCUUCAACAAGGAAUAACCUAUCUUAAAUAUUCAGUCGCUUCCUUGGCUGAGGUUGCUCUACAAUAUAGAAGGGAUAGAUUAGAUCUUCCCUUUCUCCAACAGGGAUGGCUCUGUGUGGCCCUCAAGGAGGAGUGUUGCUUUUAUGCUGAUAAGACAGAAUUAGUAGUAAACAGCCUACAAAAAGUAGGAGAAAGUCUACAGAAGAGACAAAAAGAAAGAGAAAAGAGUGAAGCCUGGUAUAAAAAUUUGGUUUUCUGCCUCUCCCCUGAUCACCACUCUUCUACCCAGUAUCCUGGGUCCCUUUAUAGGACUCCUGCUACUUGUCUCCCUUGGUCCAUGGGUGCUUAGAAAGUUAACUGAUUUUAUCAAGGCCCAGGUGAAUUCAGCUACCAAGCAGGUCUCAGUCCAUUACCACCACCUCCAUUGUGAGGAGGCUGAGACAACCGGGGAGUGUGAUACUCCCCUUGGGUCACCUGCAGUUGGCCUCAACUUCUCCACCCUAAAUACAGCCUAUAUCUCAGGCUGGAAAAUCAGUGGCUGGUGAAAGCGUCAAUGACGGGAACAAUUAUGGUGCCACAUACCAGGCACACACCUCACCUCUGUGAAGAAACCCUAUGAUGGGAUUAGCACGGGUCCAUGAUCUGGGUCGCCCACUCUUACAAAACACACACGUAUAGCCCAGAAUGGUGUGUUAAAGCAUAAGAUCAUUCCUAGCCAUUGGGGUGCAGUCCUAACUGCAAAAAUGGCUCACCAUGGCUGAGCUGGACACUUUGUGAGGCAUGUCUGAUCUAUCUCAGACCACUACUUCCACCCUGGCAGAAAUAAUGAAACCUAAGUGAGAGUGCCAGACAUGGGGAAACCUGUCUAGACUAAGACAUCAACCAGUUGAUGGUUGUGGAUGCACACCAUAUAGACAGAACUUCCUCCUACUGAUAGUUAAGGAAAGGUGGAGAUGUCGGAGACCGAAUGCCUGAACUAAGCAAAGCUAAAGAGCAGAUUUCUGAGAAGGGCUUGACCUUUUCAAAGAACUUAUCCCCGGACGACAGUUGCCUCAGUGUCUAAGGAGAAUAUCCUGCAGUUUAAUGAUUUACAUUAUGUCCUUGGGCACUUCUCAGUACUCCCCUGCCCUAAGCUUCAGUUCCUGCUUCAAUUCCUGCUUCAGAGCUUUAAAUGCUGUACAUUCCCCUCAACAAACGAGACAUUGAAAACAGAACCUUGCUUGGUCUCCUUUUUUCUCCCCCUCCCCUUGACACUCAAGUAUCGCCUCUUCGGGACUCUGAAUAAAUGGACCUGCUGGACAGGUCAAGGUUUGAAUAAUAUAAACAAAAAGGAAAUAAAGAUCUAACAAUUUUGGAUAUAACUACUAUGCAUAUUAAUUUAAAAGUUUAUUAGUGGCUGCUUAGAAGGCUGAGUGGUUAAAGUCAUGUAGUACUCUUAUAGAGGAUGAAAGUUUGUUUUCCAGCACUCCUAUGAAUGACAUAAAGCUGCCUGUAUCUCUAGGAUCAAGGAAUCUGAUGGUUCUAGCUUUGGAGUGCACUUGAACCCAAGUGGACAUAAGUAUAUUCACAGACAUCGACAUUAAAUUCAAAUCAAAUAUUUCAAAAGUAUAAUUUAUAAGAAAGAAGACUUUAAUGACAUGUACCAUACAUACAUAGACCAUGUUUCUCCCAUAAGACAAGGGUUGUUAACUGAAAAUCUCAGUGCCAAAUGUGAAAUAUUUUCCUAUGAUUCAAGAAGGCCCCAGAGGGUCCUAAAACAGAAAGAACAUCUCCACUGCUCUUGGUUUUCUCCCUGAACCAAAGAGUAAGACACUGUAUCAGAAGACAAAUUUUAUUCUGCCUGUAGCAUAAGGAGAAAUCAUGUUGGUAAAGUCCUGGAAAAUAUCCUUUUUGCUGGGUAAUAUUCUUUGUCUUAGAACUUGAUGCACAGCCUACUGUGGGAAAAAAGUUAUCAGUAGUUUCACCCAACAAGGUACUUGAAUGCUGUAAUGCCUAUUUGCCAGACAAGAUAAGUAUACUGCUGCAACCCUUGCACAAAUGGUCUGGGAACAACCAACUUUUUUUUAGUAGCUUUGAUGCUUGUACAUCAGGAGUGAAAGAAUUCAUGUCUGGGAUUGUAAACUUUUAAGGGUGAGUUUUAUUUAUUAAAAUUUCACGUAUGAAUACCUAGUUUUUUUUCUGUUACAUAUGCUUGAGACACCAUCCUUAAUUUAGAAUUAUCUUCGUGCCAUUAGCAUUAUUUAGGGACCACAGUCAAGUAAGUCUAUUUCAGCGAUGUCCCUUUUCUCAUUGACUAUAUAAACUAGUGACUACAGGUAUUUAGAAACAUUGAAAUCAAACAAUGUGUGUCACCUAACUUUACACUUUCUUAAAGUUAAGUUAGGAUAUUUUAGGUAAUUUAUGUUCUUAUAUUUUUUUUCAAAUCAGCUUAUUGAUAACUAAGAAAAUUGCUGAUAACUCAUUGAUUUUACUAAUAGUUAUUUCCUAUCAUGUAUACUUUACUGUGUCUUAUAUGUAUUUAUAUGGAGUUUUUUUAAUUCAUAUUUUUCUAAAUUUUUGGUAACAUAGUUUGAAAAAGGAAGUUCAAGGGGAGAAAAAGGAGAUGUUGGGUAUGUUCUGAGGACAGCAUACAAUGGCAGGGACUGCCAACACUAGGCUGGGAUGGAGACAUCUCAUAAGCCCAUGGCAAACUUUAGUAAAAAAUGGAGGCAUCUAGAACCAUGAAAAGCAGGAGACACUCCCUCCAGGGGAUAUGUCUUUUGAAAUAAGAGUCUGCAUGCAAUAGGUCAUGAUGGCAACAUCUCAGUAGCCCACAGCAGCUCUCUGUAAUAAAAGGUUGUUCCCAUUUCUCCUAAAUUUAGCCCUAGAGAACAGCUGUAUAGAUUUCAUUUGUGAGUGACUGCUUUUCAGUUGGCUUUGGUGUGCAUAAUUAUUCUAUUACAUUUGACUUUCCCACUUCAUUAUCCUUCUGCUCUAUUGAAUACUUUAAAACUAGAUGUUCCUUGAUGUAAUGAUUCUUAAACAAUUUGAAAUUGAGGCAUAGGGACACAGAAUAGCACAGUCCUAAAGGCCGCAGUGCAUUCUGUGUGUUCUCAUCUUGGAUAUAAUUUAAUAACUGCACAAUAGUAGUCCCAGAUUAAUACUUGACGAGCAAAGAAACUUUAAAGAAAUUAUUAAAACAUGAAUUAGAGCCAAAAUUGGGAUCUCAAGAAAGUAAAAUGUUACUGAAUUUAGGAAAUAAGUUUUACCUAAUAUUUAGAAGUGGUUUGUGGAUAAGGAAGUAUAGAAUAUAUAAAAUUAUAUACUAGUAGAACUAAGUAAAAAUGGACUCUUACAAGAGUCAUUGUGUGCAAGGAACAGAAAGCUAGCAGGACUACUGAGAUAAGUGUUAACUUGAUACUUUGUGGCCACUGCAUGGCAGCUUUGCCCAUGUCUUUUAUCAUUAGAGCUUCACAGGAAAUGCAAGUAGCUGAUCUCAGAGGUUUGAGCUCUGAAAUAUAAUAAGUCAAAAGUUAAUGUUUAAAUAAUAAUAACUUUACAAUUAUUAUUAUUAUUAUGAACAUAGGCCUGGGAAUAUGGGAAGUUUGAAACUUUGGGGAACAAUUGUAAUACAUAAUUCGUUGUGGGAUGUGGUUAUUCUUUUGAAUUUGAUUUGGAAAUGAUUACACGAUGGCUUUUCUCUUCCUGCUUUUGGAUUAUCAAUGAAAGCCUGUGUUAAGAGAAAGGCCAGAGAAUAAACGAGCAAGCACAGAAUGGAGCAAAUGUGAGAGCAAUUCUGAGAGUGAAUGUGAGAGGGGAAUGUGAGAGUGAAUAAGAGAGCACGAGGAGAGCAUGUGAAGAGUGAGGGAAGAAAGAAUGUGAGGUGUGUAUGAAGUUUAUGUGUGUGAGUAAAAUGAGAGCGCAUGUGGUGUGUCUGUGAUAUAUAUGUGAGGUGUGUAUGAAGAGUGUGUGUGAGAAUGAAAUGGUAAUUUAAAGAGGUUUGCAUGAGUGUGGGCGUUCCAGAAAAGAAAAGCACAAUUAAAAGAGCAGAAUGUGCAAGAGAAUGCAGAGUGUAUUUAUCCUCAAGAUGCAAGCAAGCAAUCAACAGAGAAAGAGAAAAGAAGAGAAAAGAAGAAGAAGAAGAAGAAGAAGAAGAAGAAGAAGAAGAAGAAGAAGAAGAAGAAGAAGAAGAAAAAGGAGAAGAAAAAGGAGAAGAAAAAGGAGAAGAGAGAGAGAAGAGAGAGAGCAAGAGAGAGGAGAAAGAGACAGAGACAGAGAGACAGAGAGAGAGACAGAGAUAUACAGAGAGGGAGAGACUUUAAGUCUUGAAAUUGCCUGUCAGUUUUUAUCCUAAUUGUUUUCUGUGUAUAUUUAUUAUGUGCUGUGUAGAUAUCAUUGCUUCCAGUUGAGAACUCUGAUCCUGUGUUGACUCUGGAACCCAGCAGCUUAUGCUUGGUUCUCAGUGCAGUAUUGGUGUGGGGAUCGACAAAUGGAGGUCUCACCGAGAUUGAGAAAGAGGUUUUCUGACGGGGCAUCCUGGGAAGCUGGCUGGCAAAGAAGGAGGGAUGUAUUGGGGUAAGAUGUGCGAGAAAAGGCCUCAGUGAUUUGGACUAGCAUGAGUAAAACUUGUAUAAAAAAAGGGGGGGGGGGUUCAAGGUACAGGUAAAGCAUUUUUGCCUAUAUGUUCUUUUUUACUUAUGUUUUAGUCUUUGGACCCUGACUAGAGAUAGUUUAUGCCCUAUAUAUGAGAGAGAAUAGGUUUGGAGAAAACAGACCGCCCAGACUCCCUGCAGAAGCUUUGAAGAAAGAGAAGGAAAAUGAGCUUAAGCUUCUUCAGAACUCUCCUAGGGACAGAAGGAAGGCAGCAGACAACCUGCCUCUUUGCUGGCUCCUAUUGGAGAAAUGCUUAUUUCUGGUUCUGGGUUCCAUAGGUAGGAUAAAUGGGUCCCUUUGGUGGGACACCAUCUAGUUAUGUCUAUUAUCUCUCCUAGGUGCGCCAAGCUGUCCAGGUCUGUCAGUUUAUGUCUGUGGUUUCUUGCUGCUUAAAUGUUUAAUGUUUCAUGUUCAAAGAAAAGAUAUUGUGAACCCUCAAACUUUACAAUUAUUUAUGCUAUACAACUGAUUGGAGGCAAGUUUUCUACACGAAAUCAGCUUACUCCCAGUUCUCAGUGCCGUGCAGGUGUGGGCAUUGACACAUCAGUGUAUCAUGAUGAUGGGUUGAUGGUAUGAAGACACUGAAAUUUUGGGGACAGAUGUACAGACAUGGAGGGCCCAAUCCUCUGCAUGAGAACUUUGUGGUUCCUCCCACUACCUACUCUAUAUGUAGGAUUUGGGUUUGGGAAUCAUUUCAGCUCUCCUCAAUUCUUGAUUUUAUGAUUCCAAUGUCUUGGCGCACCUCAGAAGGGUAAGACCUUCAGCAACAUUCUUUUUUAUUUAUUUAUCAGAGCCACUGUCCCAGUUCUUGUCUGAUGCUUGAGCCUGCCCUCAAAGGAACCUCUUAAAUUUGAUUUUCCUUUUUUAUCUCUGAUAUGCUUCCAGUCCACUACAUUCAGCUCCAACUGGAUAGUUUCUGUGAUACUAAAAAUGAAGAAAUGUGUUCCUUGAACCUUGAGGGAAGCUUCUUAUGGAAUGUGAGACAGGAAGUCUCAAGAUGAUGGAUUAUACUUUCCCUCAAGUGCUGUGCACUUCUCUAUCCCUGGGGAAUAGGAGUGGAAACUUGGGGAAUGAGCUUUCCUGUUAAAGGAGGAAAUAUCUCUCUGUGUUCUACGGCAAUCACUGGUUCUUAGAGGAGCAAACCUCAAGGAGAAAUUUCACAUUUGGUAAGUCCCUGAAGGGUUUGCAGAGGAUUGCUAGGAAGACAUAAUCAGGUAGACGAAAUUUGUUCCCUAAAACUCUACUUAGGAAAUUUGGGAUUGGUGUCCUGGCUGUAAGAAGAUUAUGGUAUGAGGGAUGAUGUCUACAGAUGUGAUCUUAGUAUUCUUUCUGACUAUGACCAAUCUCACUGGAGACUGACUCCUCAUUUUCUGAGUCACUGAAUUCACACACACACACACACACACACACACACACACACAAACACACACACACACACACACAUUUUGACCCUUGUCUUACUUCUUCACCAGGUGGCUGUAUCCAGUAUGUGUUCCAAGAAUGUUCUCACAUGUGCCUUAAUGAAACAUUGAUCUUGGGAAAUAAGACAAAUUAAAGGAAAAUUUGAAAGGACAAAUUGUUGUGAAACAACUUUUACUAGCCUAGCUUAUCUUUACCUGUUCCAAGGACAGUCCUUAGCACUUCAUCUUCCUCCUGGACCCUUACAACAAUUCAGUCUCUAUUCCAGCACUGCCCAAGUUUUAACAACACCUUGUACUCUGCAUCUGGUGUGGGUAGUUGGAGAGCUCAGCUGGGAAUAGAGAAAAACUUUGUGUUCUACACCAACCUCUGUGCUCCUACCCUUUUGUAGAUACUGAUUUCCUUCCUUCCUUCUAUGCCCCCAUGAUUGACAGAUUACAUACACUUUUUACUCUGGGAUUCAUAUUGACCUUUUUUUUCACAAAUGCAAGAAGACUUAAAUUGAUACUGUAGUCAGAUGAUGGUUCUCCAACAUUGACUAUGGAAGAGCUGACACCUGUACUUGAUGACUACUUCUAUGGUGCAUUUUCCAAUGGUAUUUCCAUCAAAUUACACCUCUAGCAUAUUCUUUCAGUCUUAUUCCAUGCAUUUCACGUGAUGUUGGUACUAUUGUGGUGUGACAUGAACAACAUAAUUGAUAACAAGGCAUGGUGAUUCACAGCUUAAAUCCCAGCUCAUGAGAAGAAGAAGCUGAUGGAUUUCUGUGAUUUUGAAAAUAGAUUGUUCUACUUAGUGGGAUUACCUCCCAAAACAGUGGAAGAGAUUUAUUUUAUACAUUCUUUUUUUUUCCAGAGCUGAGGACCGAACCCAGAGCCUUGAGCUUCCUAGGCAAGUGCUCUACCACUGAGCUAAAUCCUCAACACUAUUUUAUACUUUCUUACAUCUCCCUUAGCAGUACAUUGACUUUACCAUUUCCAAAAAACAACCUCUCCAAUUUUUCCAGAUUUAUUCUUUGUAUAACCUGGGUCCUACUAUUCCCAAUCUCUAUCUCAUUUAAGUUCAUUGUUUAUGUUGUUAAUAUUUUCCUUUAGUCAUUAAUCUUUUAGGUGUUCAAUAAUUUCUUCCCAAAACAACAGAUACUAAUUGUAAUAUCUUUCCUUGUUUCAUUUUGUUGGUUGAAUAAAACAUUGUGAUGGAAAAUGACUUAGUGUUGAGACUGUUUAUGUGACUUAUGGACUACUGUUCACUUUCAGCUUCACUUAUGAGUCUUAUGAACCAGAUGUGUGAAUCACUGGUGUUGGAUUGGAGGUAAUAAAACUUGGAUGUGAGGUUUUUGGGAGAUCAUUAGGUCAUGAGAAUAGAACUAUUACAGAUACGACUCAUGUUUCUAUUAAGGAAAAAUACAAAGGGACUCCUGGUUUCUUCUCCUCUGUGUGAAUACACAGAAGAGGGUCAAUUAGGAAUCAGAAAAUGGCCUACCAGGCCAUUGAAUCUUCACCAACUUUAUGCAAUACUUCCUAAACUUCGGGUACAUGAGAAAAUUUUCUUUUGUUCAAGUCAGAGGCAAUUUCAUAAAACAACAACAGACCAAAAGGGGUUAUAGAGUCAAGUCACAACAGAUAUACCUACAAAAGAACCACUGGGCAUAAGGAUUUGGCAUCUUGUAGGUGUAAUUGAAAGAGGAUAAGAGCCAGAGGAUCCUGGAGUUUGCUAUGAAAUUGUGUGAGCUGUCAAUGUCAGAACCUACACCCAUGAUGUCUUAUCAACUUGACUGUUUAAACAUGUACUGAACAAGGACAACAGUAGCUAUCGAAUAUGGAUAUGAGGAAUGUGUCUUCUAAUUUUGUCCAUUUUAAAAUGAUUUUGAAGGAUUUAAGUCUUUUGUUUUGCCAUGGGAAAUGGCAAAUCAUUUUAUUAAUUUCUACUAAAGAUUAUUGAGAAAAUUGUUUUUCAGUUUAAAGAAGGUAAGUAGAUUAAUGAGCACACAUUUGUAAAGGCCUUCCUCAGGAAUUCUUAGAAGUCGCUGGAAACUUUAAUAUAUUAUGAGGUAGAAAUUUGCUUAGUUGUUAAGGUCAUGUAACAUUCUCUUAAAGGACAUAAUUUAGUUCACAACAUCCACUUCAGAGAAAUCACAACCACUGAUAACUACAUAUCGAGUGUAUUUAUAGUUAAGUACCUCUUUUCGGUUCAGAAGGCAUCUAAAUUUGCCUAUUAAAAAGAGUAACAAGAGGAUAUGCAUAUAUGUAAAUAUAUAAUUUAAUAAAUAAGUAAAUGUAAAGAAAAUAUUACUAGAUGAAUUGGAAAUUAAAUUCAUAUAUAAACACAUAUAUGAAUAUUAUAUAUAUAUGAAUAUAUACAUGUAUAUAUACAUAUGACAACUUACUAAGAUAAAGGUAAAUAAAUCUUAAAUAAGAUGUACAACCCACUGAGGGUUUUGGUGUUUGUAUAUAUAGGAUUUGAGAGAUGACCACUCUGCAUUGUACAACUGUAUGUGAAUUCAUCUCUGGAAGAUGCUAAUUCUCCUCCUCCGAGUAGUUAUUACAUAUUUACAAUUCCUUUUCUAGGGAUGGGACUCCAUGAAUUCACUUUCCGAGACAGUUUUAAUGUCCUUAAGCUAAUGUAGAACUCUGCAUUUUAAAUGUCAAUGUCAUGGUAAGCCUAUUCUCCUCUUUUAUUCAUGUACAUAAUUAAUUUUAACCUAUAUACACAUAUUAGUUUUAACACGAUUUGUUAGUUUCUGCUUUUAAAUUGAAUAUGCUACAUUUCGAUUUAUAUAUCAAUAUUAUUUGAUUACAAGUUACCACUUUUCAUCUUUUUCUAACAUUUAGACUCAACAGUUUAAUUUUGAGCAUCUGUCAAUUUUUGAAAGCUAGAAACAGUCUAUCAGAAUGGGAAGGUCAGAGGCCUUAUUGAGUGAGAAUAUGAAUAGAAUACAUGUGCUAUGAAAGUAGGGGAUAGAAGUGUAAGCACAGUAAGGAAUGGUGAUAUAUAAGGAAUUGUAGGGUUUGGAUAACGAAAACAAAAAGAUAAAUAAAUAUCUAUUUUGAUCUAACUACUUUGCAUACUGAUUUAAGAAUGUAGUAGUGGCUAUUUAGAAGGUGGAGUGAUUAAAGUAAUGCAGUGCUCUUGUAGCAUAUGAAAGUUUUGUUUCCAGUACCCAUGUGUGUGACCCAAAAUUGUCUGUAACUCCAGCAUCAAGGAAUCUGAUGCCUCUAUACUCAGAGGGCACUUGAAUCCUCAUGCACUACAUACAUGGACAUGGACAUUAAAAUCAAAUCAAAUAUUUUAAAAGUAUAAUUUAUAAGAAAGAAUACUUUAAUGUCAUGUACCAUACAUACAUAAACAAUGUUUCUCCUAUAAGACAAGGGUUGUUAACUGAAAAUCUCAGUGCCAAAUGUGAGAUAUUUCCCUAUGACUAAAGGAGGCUCCAGAGGGUCCUAACACAAAAAGAACAUCUCCACUGCUCUUAGUUGUCUCCCUGAACCAAAGAGUAUGACACUGUAUCUGAAGACAAAUUUGAUUCUGGCUGUAGCAAAUGGAGAAAUUAUGUUGGAAUUGACCUAGGAAAUUUCCUUCCUGCUGGGUACUUUUCAUUGUCUUUGUACCUGAUGUGCAGCCUUCUGUGAAAGGAAAGUUAUCGGUAGUUUUACCCAGCAACUUAUAUUGAAUGCUAUAAUGACUAUUUGGCAGGCAAAAUGUGUGUACUGGUGCAAUCAUUGCACAAAAGUUCUUGGAGCAACCAAUUCCCUUUAUAGUAGCUUUAAAGCUUGUACCACAAGAGAAAAGAAUUCAUGGCUGGAAAUGUAAACUUGGUAAAAAAAAUUGGCUGAGAAGCUGUUAGAGCCAAAGGUUUGGGAGUAUCCAACUGCAGUUUGGUUUGUUAAGGAUAUGCUAUCAAACUAUUUUUUAAAUAUAUAUGUUUGUACAUAUACAUUCGUGUUCUUCACUUUGCACAUAAAAACUUCUAUGUGCAGUGGACAUCAGAACAUGCAUGACUCAUAACUUGUCCAAGUGCUCAGAAUGAAUGUUCAAUGCUCAUCCCUAAUGAGGUAUCUAUAAAUCCCUUACAAGUUUCUUGUAAACUAGAGAAAAAGAGAUUGAAUGAAUGAAUUGAAAUGAGUGCUAGAAGAUGCUGUCUUCUGAACAUGACAUGGACAAGCUGAUCAUGAAAUCAGAGAAGGUACAUUGAACUUAGAUAAUGACUUGUUCAAAGUUCCCAGGUGAAGUGUGUGGGGAACUGGGGUAGGUAAGAUCAAGAGAGAUGGUACACGGUUAAAGAAUAAGUUAAUAAUAUUUAUAAAAAAAUAAAAUCCACCACCUUUCUAAAACUUUGACAUUUUCUGCCCAAUAAUAUAGGCGCUUUUAGUGUCUUAUUUUUUAUAAACGUUUAUAAAUCGUUUAUAAACGAUUCUUCGCUCUAUUUCAUUUCCACUACUGUGUCAACUAAAUAUACCUGUUUAACAAAUUAUAUUUAAGUAUACUUGGGGUUUCCUGUAUAACAUUUUAAACUACUACAAAUUUCCUUUAAGUAUUACAUGAUUCAUAGGGAAUAAAUGCUUAGGAAGCAAACAUUUUGACUCAUCCCCUCUAUUAUUUCUGCAACUAACAUGUGUUUUACUUCUUGUGCAACAAAUCCCUUAUUAUGUCCUCACUGCUUUUUCUUAUUUUAAAGGAAUUUAUCAGCUCGGCCAAUUAAAAUGAGGGAAAGAGUGUUCUCUGCAUUCAUUAUCAUUAUCAUUAUCAUCAUAUCUUGUUCUCUACAUUUAUAUUUUAGGUUCAAUUAACAUCGGUUGUUACAUUACAUGUAUCCUAUAUUUUGAAUUCCUUUAACAUUUUAUAGUACUCAAAAACACUGAAUUUAUAAUCUUUUUUUCUGAUUCUUUAGAAAAAUAUGUAACUUUACUUAACUACAUUUGUGAGCUAUCAAAUUUAGUCCUUGAAGGGGUGUGGUGGUGCUGGUGGUGGUUGUGGUGUGUGUUUGUAUGUGUGUGCUUGUGUGUUUGUAGAAUGCUAUUUUUUGUCAGCAUUUGUAAGCUGGCAUCUCAAUAUCUUUUGCACAGCAUAGUUCCUAAUGAACGUUAAAUAAACAGUAUAGUGCCCUAUUUUCUUUAUGCUGAGUUAUUUUUCAGAAGGUCAAAGGUGUUAUAGUUUCAUUAUUUAUGUUAUUUGGCAUUUGAAGACGUAAUGGAUGUCAUAUCUUUAAAUAUAUUAUAUACAGCAAAAUAAUCAUAAAUAUUUAAAAUGUUUGGCAUUGUUCACAACUCUUGGAGGCAAAGUGAUUUAUUCAUAAAUUACCUCAUGUAGGAAGAUGAUGUGGGCCUCAAAUUUUGUUCUAACAAUUGUGUACUAUAAUGUCUCUGGCUCAAAUUUAGCACAAGGCAACAUACCCAGAGUAUAAUCACAAUUCUCAAUCUGCUGAGAUAUCCCCACAGACCUGAUGAAUUCAGAAAUGAAUUUCAAAAUUCUGCUAUAAGUCAUGAAUUUUUUUGAAAAUCAUAGUGUAGGCUAGUUAAUUUCAUGACACAUUUCAGAAGUGAAAAGUUAAUGAACCUUUUUGAGAGACAAGGAAUCAAGGAAUAAUACCACAUACCUAUAAUAAGUGAUUAGAAAGAGCAGGUGGAAACUACAGUGUCCUCGAUAGCUUCUUAGACAUUGAUCCUUGGGAGGACAAUAUCUGCAUUUGAGAUUCCCAUGGUUGGCAAAAUCAGCUAGAUAUUCUUAAAAAAUAGAAAAGUCCAAUUCAGAGGUAUAGGUAUUGUACCUGGAACGAUAUGUUGUUCUGGUACAAAGAAAAGACAAUUAACUUGACAAGAAUUUUCAUAAGAUUUAAUAAAACAUCUAUAUGUGGAAGAGCAGUGUGAGAUAGAGAGGAGAGAAAGGGACCAGAGAAAGAGAAGGAGAGGCAGAGAGAAAGUGAGAGGGACAGUGACAGGUUGAGGAAGGAGAAAGGGGAGAGAGAGAUAGAGAAAAGAGAGAGAGAGGGAGAGAGAGAGAGAAAGAGAGAGAAUAUGAAUGAGUCAUCCCAUGAGAGUAAAUGUGAUCCUUCAUUAACAUUAAGGGAAAGUUACUGUUCUUAUGUAGAUUGUCCUUUAUGAGGGAUGGUGAUUUUACUAGACAUGAGUAGCUCAUCACUUUCUUCUGUAUUAUAUUUUAUAGCAUCAUUCAUCUUUCCCUGAGGUUGGCCAUUUGUGAUGAAACAUCUGUCGCCAUGAGGAGUUAGACCCUAGGUAUUCAGAGAAAGUGUUAGAAGUCACAAUGUCAGUCUCCAAGUAUUCAGGAUCUGUUAUUAGAAGUCCAGAAGUCCUCAGUAGUCAUUAACUGAUGCUGCUGGCAAUGCCUGAUAUCCACAAGAGAACACCAUAAAGAGGUUUAGUAACUUAUUUGCCUGAGUCCAGCUACAGUGUGGCUCACGGCCAACAGAGGAGGUUUGGAGUCAGUGAAAGAAGAAAACUGACAUGAUCUGAGGGUGAAUCAUGAUAGUUGGGAGUUUAUUUAAAAAUCUAAACAUUUGUAUUCUAUAUUUGUACAAUUAGCCAUAGGUAAUAUGGAAGGAAGACUUAAUGGUUUCAUGAAGACUACUAUCGUUCCACAUACUGCUCUUAAUCAAUUUUAGCCCCAGUUGUCAACAUGAAGAAUGUAGGAGGCAAUCAAAUCUGUUUUAGUAUUUUUCUUUAAAGGAAAAGCAAUAAGUUGAGCCAGCAUCUAAUUUCAAAUUGUUCUCAAGGGUUCAAUAAACCUGUAAAGUGCCCCUUUACCCUUCCUCCUACAAGUUCUGCACCACUGUGGUCAGUCUCUGUGCUCAGAGAUAGUGAACAUUGAGUCCGGAGAAACAAACCCAUAAAGAAAAUUUUCAUCAUCUCAAGUGUUUUUGCAGUGUUUUUCUGCCAUGUGGCAUAAUAAGCAUUAGGUAGUUUUCUAAUUACCUUCCAUUGUGCCUUAGUCUUAAAAUAUGGGCCUUACUCUUACAUUCCCUUCCCUAAGGUAAUGUCCUGAUACCUUAUUUUUUUUCUAAUAUGCCAUACCUUCUUUUUUUAUUGGAUAUUUUUUUAUUUGCCCUUCAAUUCUUAUUCCCUUUUCUGGUUUCCCAGCCAUAAGGCCCCAUCCCAUCCAACUCUGCUUCUUCUAUAAGAGUGUUCCCCCUCCCACUCCCACCACAACAUUGCCCUACACUGGGGGGGUUUAGCUGUGUCAGUAUCAAGGGCUUCCCCUUCAAUUCAUGUCCAACCGUGCCAUCAUCUGCUACAUAUGCAGCUGGAACCAUGAAUCUGUCCAUGCAUAGUCUUUGGGUAGUGGUUUAGUCCCUGGGAACUAUGGCUUGUUGCUAUUGCUCUUCUUAUUGGGUUGCAUGUACCUUCAGUUCCUCAAAUACUUUCUCUAAUCCCUCCAAUGGGGACCCCAUUCUCAGUUCAAUGGUUUGCUGCUAGCAUUCUCCUCUGUAUUUGACAUGCUCUGGCUAAGCCUCUGGGGAAAGAACUGUAAUAGGCUCCUCUCAGCAUGCACUUCUUAACUCAAAAAUAUGAAACACAUCAUGAAUUUGUGUGUCAUCCUUGUGGAGGGUCCAUGAUGUAUCAUUCCAAUUUUAGUAUAUGUACUGCUGAGGCAAGCAAAUGCCAUACCAUCUUAUCCUUCAAUGUAUGUUCUUGUAUAUGAAAGACUUUUUAACAGAAUCUGCAUCUUGUAGGAUAUAUCAGUUCUUGCCAUUCAUCCUGAAAGUCACUUACACAGGAAAUUAAUGACAGGUACUAUUGUAUACAUAUUGACUGAACUUUUGUCCUCAACUGUCAAGGCCCCACAUUCUGGGUCUGGGCUCAUUGUUUCUCUUGAUUAUAUUCUUUCAUCCUUGCCAGCAGAUGCUUAAAGUUUCCUGAAACCAUCUUUCAGUUAAUAAAUCUUUACCUUCUCUAUUCUUGGUGCAAACAAGGGUGUGUUUUGGGGAUUCUAGUGUAGGAGUAGACAGAGAUAUAGUACUAUAUGGUCGCACAAUGGUGAAGUUUUUUCCAAUGAAUUAUUUUGAUUAUAGAGAUAGCUGUUGUAUAUACUCACAUGGUCUACCAAGGCCCAUACAAAAUUUGCCAGAGGGAUUAGGAAACUCUCAAAACACAUAGUGAAUCAUCAAAGAUGAAAGUAAAAUUAUGAUGUGAUCUAGAAUCAGUGAUGUUGAUAGGCUGGAAAAUUUCAAGCAGCAGUGAUCAACAUGUGGUCCAUGUUCAUUGUUAAGUAGUUGUACUUGAACAUUAAGUAAGUUGAAGGUGAAAAAUAGGAUUAAGAAAAAAGAAGCAAUAAGAAGAAAGAGAGCCUAAACUAACAGAGAAAAGGUACCCAAAAGCUGUCCUAACAAGAUCUGUACUAAUUCCCGAGUUAUACACUGUCAGGUUUAAUCUUUUUGUUUGAUUUUUCCGAGAUUUUUCCCCCUAUUUCUUUUGAAUUAUUGAUGCAGAAACAAAAAAGUUUCAUUAAUAAGGGCAUAUACAGGUCUGACUUCUGCAGAAAGGUUAUCUAGGGUUUUUCUUGUUUUGGAGGACCAUUUCUGUCAAGAGCUGAGGCGUUGUUUGUACAUCUUUAGUAGAGACUGUGGUCUUCUAGGUUAUGGGAUAGGAAAGGUAAUUCUUAAUAUUAACUUUUGCAGCUGUGAUCAUCCUUGACCAAAAUAAUUCUCUGUGAUUAUUCCAAAGUUGCCCACUUCUGACCAGUUUCUGCCUAGAGCUACAGACAUUUUGUUUUUCUUAUAUUUUCUGCUAGGGACUAAACAUAGGAAUUUCUUCUUUAGAGAAGUUCAGAUGGAGAAAAGAAUCAGGGAUGGGAAAUCUUCUAAAUAUCUUAAGUAUGGCACCCUCUUGAGUUUUAGGGCUACAUAUAGGUCUUAGCCACACAGAAAGUAGUUGCCUUUCUCAUUAAGUGUUACUCCACUGCUUGGUUUCUGAAUCUAAAUGAACUAUAAUCUGUUGUAAUUUACUAGGAUAGAAAAGUCCUACAGUCUGAGGAAUAGAAUCAUUCCUCUCUGGUGUUUGCAGAAGUGACUAGAAUAAAGGAGGGGCAUUUCAUAAAUAUGCCCAUGAUCAGCUUCCAUAUCUAUCCAAGCACUUUCAUUGGUUUUUAACUUUCUCAUCCUACCAUUCUUUUCACCUCAGGCAAAUUCUGUUAUUUCCUUUUUGAAAUUUUGGACAAGACUUCAUACUGUAUCCUUUGGUAACCUGCAUUUUCUCAUAUAGACAUGGCUUAUCGAUCACUCACAAAUCUUGUCUGUCUCUGCCUUACAAGGACUGAAAUUAUACUGCAAAGCCACUAUGCUUAGAAUUUUUAAUUAAUUUCUUUCAUAACUUUACUUUUUAUUAUUUCAAAAAAGUAUUUUAAAUGCAUAUGGGUAUUUUACCAAAAACCAUGUUCUGUGUAACAUGUGUAAACCUACUGGAUUUAGAGUCCAGAAGUGUUGGUAGUAAUGCCCUUCAAAUCCUCCAUUAUUGAUAUUAUUAUGAUGGUUGAUUAAGUAUGACUGGGUUAAAUGAAAAUCCCUGGCCAGCUGCAGAACACUAAUACAAAUCUUAUGGUCAAGAUGAAUAAUGAUAUGAUAAAGUUGUGACCUUGCUGAGAAAUACAUCUGACAUCAAGAUACCCAGUGUGAUGACCUGCAACCUUUCUGAAAAAACAACAUCCUGCUGAUCAAUAGAUAUGACAAACCUGUGACCUUUCUAACAUCAUGUCAACACCAGCCAAUUUUCUGACCACACAAAUACUGUGUCCUUAGCCUGACUAAAUGUUUCAAACUUCCCCCCUCACUCCAUUACCCCCUUAUGGUAUGAAUUCAGCCUUGGGAAAAAAUAAAAUUGUUGCCUUGAUCGAACUCUUGUCUUGGCUUCCUUCUUCAUGUCUCUUUUCCCCACAUUCUCUUCCAGGUACCCUCAGCACCAUUGUUGAUCAAUGGCGCCCAGCAUGAGGCUGUUUGGAGGUCUCCUGGAGAGGAACAUUGUCCCCCAUGAGUAGACAGGCCUGUCUUCCUUGUUUGGUUGAGCCUUUGCUCCCCCUCGGAGCUUUUGACCCCUAGGAGGUUUUGCUCCCCUCAGAGACUUUGCUUCCCACCUUGGAGCCUUUGCUCCCCUGCUUGUGGAAACCAUGGAGUGCCCGACCUUGGUUAAGAAGCUUAGUGUGGGGGCUGGGGAUUUAGCGCAGUGGUAGAGCGCUUACCUAGGAAGCGCAAGGCCCUGGGUUCGGUCCCCAGCUCCAAAAAAAAGAACAAAAAAAAAGAAGCUUAGUGUGUUUCUCCACGGACAACACAGAUCUUAGUGGUGAGAGAUGAGACAAGCAUUCUACAGUCACCUUUUGUGACAGGACUCAGGGAGUCACUCAGGACACGAAGAAUAUGGUUAAGAAAAAGAUUUAAAGAAAUUAUUAUACUUUGUAGGAAAUAUUUGUCCAUAGUUACCCCAGGAGGGAACAAUUGACACAAAAGAUAGUGCAGAGUUAGUUACUGUUUUAUGGGCCAGCUAAUCCUGUUGCUGAAGUCUGCCCUUUGUAAUGAAUAAAAGUUGCAUGCUUUUUGGGUUCAAGGUUGCCUCUCCCUGCAUUGGUGAGCAACCCCACAUACGUGGAUUGAAAACCUUAUACACUCAUGCUACUGCAGCAGUCACUUUGUCAAUCUGUGCUCUGUGGGUGGUGCUCCUGGUGUAAGGCCACAAUGGGUUCUUACAACAUUUUGUUGCAUCAGCUUGGAACUGGGCUCCCCCAGACCACAAUUGGCCAAGAGAUCAGAGGUAAGCUCGAGCAAAUCUGUGGUCUGUGUUCUGUGUUAAUUUCUGUUUUGUCUCUGUGUCAUGUUGUCUCCUCAUUGUUUCAUGUUGUCUUAUGUUGUCUGUGUCUGCUGUCUGGAGUGUUUGAGGCCCUUCAGAGGGGUGCUUGAGUCCUCUACUGUAGAGGGGUUAGUGUCCCCUCAGUGGAUGCUGUGGGUCCUGUGACGGGCUUACGGCUGUGACAGGAGGACAUGUUAGUUGUCACAGGCCACAGGCCCUAAAGGAUGCUCUAGGAGGAGAAAGGAAUCUAGAGAAAACUAUAGAAUCCCUUUGGGAGGUGGGAUCAGACAGUCCACCUCAUUCCAGAAGCAGCUAAGGUUAAGCUGAUAUUUGGGCCAUGAACUGAAUGCAUCAGGCAUCUGUGGAAAUUGCAUAUAGGAUGCAUUGUCUUCAUCUUGUUUGUCUAGUAUGAUUUCUGUGAUAUAGUCGAGAAUCUUUUGGCUUUUGUUUCACUUUUGGACUUGGACUGACAACUGUGUUUGAAAUCAUGCACUGACGACUGUGUUUAAAAUCAUGGAAUUAAGACUGUGUUUGAAAUCAUGGAACUGUUUGUGUUGUUUGCCAAUGAGUUUUACUUGGUCCUCUUGGUGCUUAACUUGGGAAUGAUUUGCUUGAGAGCAAUUAUUUUCAACCUGGGAGUUUUGUCUUUCUCUCUUGAGCCUCCUCCCCAAGGAGAAAUGCCUCUCCCUUUGCUUCCCUGGUCCAGUCUAGCUAAUUUUAACAGUUCAUGACACAUGUGUAUGGACUCCAGGUUAUCGAGUGAUCAUGUCUGAAGAAGGCAUUUACAAGAAUCUGAAAGCUUUGCCUUGAAUCCUGAUGAAAGGAUGUCCCUUUUGCUUAGGCCUUCACAGCUUCUAAGGAAGGGACAGCACAGAGUAGGGAAGUGUGGGGCUAAGGGUGGCAGGUGAGCAGGCCUACUAGCAAGCAAGUUGCAGGCUGCUCAUGGGCAGUGGCACAGCUCAGGCCAAGCUGGCAAAAGAGGACUCUCAAGGCAAAGGGGCUGCUGGUUGGGGCUAGCGCUUUGACAACAAAAGGAUAAUAGAGAGUUAGUGGUUGUUUUAAAGAUUAUUAUGAGCCAUGAAAGAAAUUCCAACUGCUAUCUUCAGUAGCCAGAAUUUCAACACUUGCUCACAGAAGGAGAUCAUUCAUUAAAUGAAGUUUUUUUGAGGGAGCCUGCCUUAUCUGCUAGACCUAUUCCAAGAGAAGAGUCAGUCUCCAACAUUAAGUACAUUCCCUGUUAGUCAUCAUUGAAGUAGAGAGUGCCUCUGAUCCUAUCCAUGAAAUAAUUAGUUCCUGCCCCUGUGGUCAAAAUGCCACAGGUUGAGGGGCAGGAGCCCCUAAAAUAGUUUCAGAAACUCUGCAGCACACUGCGAGGAACUUUGAUUUGCCAGACAGAACAGGCUUUAUUCUAGGAUGAUUACAGGAGAAAUUCUUGGCACCAGCUCUUCAGCUUACUCCAACUGGAGGCUGUGCCCAAGGUCAGGAUCAAUGUUUUCUUUUCCAUGGCCCUCCAACCCAGUGAGACAGCUUGAUGAAGGGCAAAUAUUGAAGUCCUGGAAUUCAGAGGUAUGGGGGAGGGCUGUAGUUCUAUUAAAGGUCAGUAUUCCAGUGUUAGCAACCUCUUUAUUGGUUGUAAGAGGCAGGAAGCCCAAUGAAUUGUGACCCCUGACUCAGGUAUGUCAGUAGAAAGAGUCCUUAUAACCAGUUAUCUUUAACUAUAGCUUGCACUCUGAUACCCAAGGCUUCAAUCAGAUCAUACCCCCCUGGGUGAGCCUCCUUCAAUACUCAGAAACUAUCUUCUCCUGGUCUUUUGACACAAGGUCACCAGGCAUGUCUGACAGCCCGGACGACCCUCCCCCAAAGUGAACAAGCCAUACAAUACUUUUGUCAGUCUGUUGGCAUCUAGCACGCAGGUCCUAACCAUCUCUCCAUCCUUUUGUAACUCUUACUGGAAUCCUAGGGUCAUUCUGAGGCUGAGUCUCUUGAAAGGCAGAGCCACUAACCUGACACUGAAUGGAGGUACUCCUUAAGGGAAAGUCUAAGUCCAGAGAGACGGCCGAUAACCUGCCCCUCUGCUUGCCUUUCUGUUUUAUAGGCACAAGGCUUGCACUUAUGUUUGCAAUGGUCUUUUUGUCCCAAGAAAGCUUCCUCAUUUAGCUGUGUGACUGAAUGCUACUUGUCACCUGAUCUGUUUGUUCCACCAGCUCUCAGCAGGUCAACCCCUAGCUUUCUUGCCUGGCCCCUUUCCUCUGUUCUUAAGAAUUUUGUCACCAAAUACACUGUUGUUUGACUUACAAUAUCACCUGCCCUGCUAAUAUACAUGUCCCAGAUUCCUGUUAUGAAAGUUCUAAUUCUAAAACAAGGGGAUGGUACCUCCCCCUAAAUAUUAAAUUUACCUCUACGAUUUGAAACCAGGAUUGGACACGUGGAUAUACUUGGGGCCAUAAAAUGUUUCAAUCGGGUGCCAACACAGGGAUUAUAUUUACCAUAAAAUUGUUAAAAGAGUCUGUACAUUCCUACUCCUUGGCUCCUGGCACUCAUCCCAAGAAGAAGCCCAUGGAGGCACUGAACACAGCACAGAGCACACAGGCAACUUCAUCUACAGCCUGCACUCCACUGAGACGAGGUACUUUCUCGAAGAACUGCACCACUUCGAGUCCACUGCCAUUGCACAAGAAGAAUUGAAAGCUCUACCACCCAGUCCAGGACAGAUGAGAUAUGUAUUCUUCCAUAAUGAGAUACCUUUCAUAGGGUUUGGAUUUUUAGAUAAUGCAAUUAUGGUUGUUGUAGGAACCCAAAUUGAAUUGGGUAUUAACAUCAUUUUCGGAAUUUCAACAAUGGCACUCAAUAUGUUAUCUUUUCCUUCUAUGUAUCAACAUAUUAUUAACUUUCAGUCAUUGAUGCUGUACUGUACUUACAUGGGGUUUGCUUAUUUCUUAUAUGACAUGCACGGGAUACCUAUGCAUGUCUUUAUUUUUUAUUAUAUGUUUAUACUUCAAUGCUGAGGUUUAUCCAAAUUAUUUGAGAUGUUUAAUAUCAGUUAAAAUUGUAAUUCUCUGCCUGGUGGCAUCCCUUCUAUGAUAGUUCAUGGUAAACAUUUACAAUCAUAUAAAUUCACUCAAUUUUUAAAUUUCCACAUCUAUCUAAAAGAGAGCAGAGUUUUAAGUAUAUCUGACUAUUUUAAUUUUGAACUAUACUGUCUUUAAGGGGCAGAGGUUGAUCAGAAAGAACAGUUGUCUGGUCCCUCUUUUACAUAAAACAUACAGGCUAACAAAUCUACUUCUUUCUGAUUGGCUUUUGACUUUUAAUUUCCCAACUUUGAGCAAUCACACUGAAUUCUGGUUUGUAAGAGAAAGGCAGUGAAUGUAUACUUCAUGUGUGUUAGAAUAUGGUUAAAGAGAGCAUGAAAUAGGUCAUAAAAUGAUUAGAAAAGAGAAAACAACAAAGAGAAAAAGCUGAGAACCGGUAUCAAAAUUGGUUUGCCACCUCCCCUUGGUUUUCCACCCUGCUUCCCUCUCUGUUGGACCCCCUAAUAGGCCUUCUUUUGCUUAUAUCUUUUGGCCAUUGAACAUUUAAUCAUUUGACCAGCUUUAUUAAACAACAGGUAGAUAAUAUGGCAGCAAAACCUAUUCAGGUAUAUUAUCAUAGGCUAACUAUUGAGGAUGCCUUUGAUGAGGGUCAAGCUCACCUACACAUCCCCUCCUAGCCCAGGCAAGGACACUUUUGUCCUUCAGCCAAAUGAGGCCAACAUUCUUUUCUACCUGAUGUCCUGAUGCUUUUGCUGAAAAGUCAAUGAAUUGUCACCCUUGCGUGCUGAACUGGACAGUCAAUGAUGGGUAAGAGAGUGAUAUAUACACGAAUAAAGGUCCUAAGACAGGAAGGCUCCCAUUAGCUGCUGCCUUAUCCCAUGACAGACCCUGGCCACAAGGUUCUCUUGGCCAUGUGACAAAUAUCACUCCAACCUAAGACAGAAGCAGUUCCUGAGGGGCUCAUUCCAGGACAGCACAGCCAUUUGGUCACCUUUUCACAUGAUUAUAAGAAAGGGGGAGAUGCUGGAAGCGAUGUCUUGAAACCCUCCAAUAUUGAAGCUAUUAUUAUGGCUAGUUAAGUAUGACUGGGUUCAUGAAAAAUCCCCAGCCAACUGCAGAACACUAAUAGAAAUAUGGUGGUCAAGAUGAAUAAUGAUAUGACCUUGUGACCUUGCUGAGAAAUACAUCUGACGUCAAGAUACCCAAUGUGAUGACCUGCAACUUUUCUGAACAAACAACAUCCUGCUGACCAAUAGAUAUGACAAACCUGUGGCCUUUCUAACAUCCUAUCAACAUCAGCCAAUUCCCUAACCACAUGAAUACCGUGUCCUUGGCCUGAUUAAAUGUUUCAUACUUCCCCUCUCCCUCUGUUACCCCCGUUAUGGUAUAAAUUCAGCCUUAAGAAAAAAUAAAAUUGUUGCCUUGAUCAGACUCUUAUCUUGGCAUCCUUCCUCAUGUCUCUUGUUCCCCAUUCCCUUCUAGGUAACCUCAGCACCAUUAUUAUUUUAUUCCCUGUAACUAGAAUUAGUUAUCUAAUUAGAAUCAGCCACCUCAUGGAUUCUAAGACUUGAGUCAUGGUCUUUGAAAGAAAAGCUGAAUAAUUUCUGCAGCCCCAUUAAUUUAUUUUUUCUUUUAAGCUUGAUAAUGUACAUGAUGAAUUUUAGGCCUUUUAAUCUCCUAUUACCUUGUCUACAUAUUAAAGGCCCUCUCCAGCUCAAUUUUCUUUCCAAGGAAUCCUCAUAUCUUCAGCAUAUUUGAGACAUAAAAUGCUGCUAUCACAUCAGGGAUAUAGGAGAGAUUGGAGGGUUUGCUUAUUUUCUGGUUCUUCCACAGAAAUCUAAAGGAGGCGCCAGAAUGAAUCCAUGACAGACUCAACUAUGUGCUUUCUUGUUGGGGACAGGACUGCUUGACUAGGCAAAGCCUGAGAAGGGCUUGACCUUUUUAAAGAGAGAACAUGUCCCCGGAAGACUGUUGUCUCAUUGUCUAAGGAGAAUGUCUUGCGGUUUAAUGAUUCACCUUAUGUCCUUGUGCACUUCCCAGUACUCCCCCCGCCCUAAGCUUCAGUUCCUGCUUCAAUUCCUGCUUCAGAGCUUUAAAUGCUGUAUAUUACUCUCAAUAAACAGACCUUGACAAGGACACUGCUUGGUCUAGCUCCGCUUUCUCACCCGUUCUCCCGCAGGUAUGGGCCCCCCUCUACCCCCACAAAUAACUGGUUCCCCGCUGGCGGGGGCAAGUGCUUCUCUUGAGAUUACAGCAUGGUAAAGGGUUCCACAUCUGUCUUUCUGACCAAGUCUAACCACCACCUCUGCAGAAGCUAUCUUGCUACAUCUCUACCUCAUGCCUUCCCUCUCAGAUGCAAGUUUUUGCAUUAAAGGCUGAGGCUGCUUCGGCAAGUUCCAAAUGCUAUAUGUUUUUCUUUUAUUAUAUAUGCUAACUAUUAGAGGAAGCAGUUUUUGUUAACCUAUAAGAAAGCAAUUAUAGAAAUAUGAAGAACUCUGCUGUGAACCAGUAGUCUGGAUGGUUGGAAUUUCUCAAACCUGGUUUCAGAGGAUCCCUGUGUUGGAAUCUGAACUGGUAAAAUAUCAAAACAUUUUAUUAACUUCUACUAAAAAUUAUUGAGAAAACUGUUAUUGAAUUUAAAGAAGGUAAGUAAUUAAUGACCACACAUUUGAAAAGGCCUUCCUCAGUAGUUCUAAGAAAAAGUGACAGGUAACUUGAAUAUAUUAUGAGUUAGAAAGUUAGUUUAGUUAUUAAGGUCAUGCAACAUUCUGAUAAAGGAUAUAAUUUAGAUCACAAGAUCUACUUCAGGGAAAUCACAACCACCUAUAACUACAGAUCAAGUGUAUUUGUCAUUAAGUACCUCUUUAUGGUUCAGAAGGCAUCUAAAUGUGCCUUUUACAAAAAGUACCAAGUGGGGAUAUGCAUAUGUGUAAAUAAAUAAAUAAAUGAAUAAAUAAAUAAAUAAAUAAAUAAAUGUAAAGAAAAUGUUACUAGAUGACUUGGAAAUUAAAUUCUUAUGUGUAUAUAUACAUAUAUUAAAGAAAUUAUUAAGGUAGAGGAAAUAAAAUAAAUCUUAAAUAAAGUGCACAACUUGCUGAGGCUAUUUUGUUUGUAUAUAUAGGAUUUGAGAGCUUACUGUUCUACAUAGUACAACUGUAUGGGAAUUCAUUCCUGGAAGAUGCUAAUUCUCCUCCUCUGAGUACUUAUUACUUGUUUACAGUUCUGUUUCUAGGGAUGGGACUCCAUGUAUUAACUUUCAUUUUCUGAGACAGUUUUAAUGUUCUUAAGCUAAUGUAGAACUCUGCAUUUUAAAGGUCAAUGUCAUGAUAAGCUCUCUCUCUCUCUCUCUCUCUCUCUGUGUGUGUGUGUGUGUGUGUGUAUAUAUAUAUAUAAUUAAUUUUAACUUAUAUACACAAUCAUAGUUUUAACACAACCUGUUAGUUUCUGCUUAUGAAUGGAAUAUGCCAUAUUUCAAUGUAUAUAUCAAUAUUAUUUGAUUAAAAGUUACCACUUUUCAUCUCUUUCUAACUUUUUAGACUCAACAAUUUAAUUUGGAGCAUCUGUCAAAUUUAGAAAGCUAGAAAUAGUCUAUGAGAAUAGGAAGGUCAGAGGUCUUAUGGGGUGAGAGUAUUAAUAGAAUACAUGUGCUAUGAAAGUAGGGGAUAAAAGUCUAAGCACAGAAAGGAAUGAUGAUAUAUAAGGAUGUGUCAGGUUUGAAUAAUCAAAAAAAAAUAAAAAAAAAUCUAUCAUUUUCAGACCUUACUACAUUGCACACUAAUUUAAAAGUGUAGUAGUGGCUAUUUAGAAGGCGUAGUGGUUAAAGUCUCAUAGUGCUCUCAUAGCAGAUGAAAGUUUGGUUUCCACCAUCCAUGUGUGUGACAUAAAACUGCCUGUAUGUUCAGGAUCAAGGAAUCUGAUGCCUUAGCCUCAGAGGGCACUUGAAUCCAUGUGCUUAACUACAUACCUGGACAAGGACAUUAAAAUCAAAUCAAAUAUUUAAAAGGUAUAUUUAUGAGAAAGAAGUCUUUAGUGACAUGUACCAUACAUGGAAGACAAUGUUUCACCAAUAAGAUAUGGGAUGAUAACUGAAAACUCAAUGCCAAAUGUGAGAUAUUUUCCUAUGACUCAAGGAUGCCAGAGGGGAUCCUAAAACAUAAAGAAUAUCUCCACUGCUCUUGGUUGUCUCCCUGAACCAAAGAAGAAGACACUAUAUCUGAAGACAAAUUUCAUUGUGGCUGUAGCAUAUGGAGAAAGCAUGUUGGAAAUGACCUAGAAAAUUUCCUUCCUGCUGGGCACUUUUCAUUGUCUUAGAACAUGAUGUGCAGUCUACUGUGGGAGAAAAGUUAUCAGUAGUUUUACCCAGCAAGGUAUAUUGAAUGCUGUAAUGCGUAUUUGCCAGGCAGGAUUUGUAUACGUGUGCAAUCAUUGCAAAAAUGUUCUGGGAGCAAAAAUCUCCAUUUAUAGUAGCUUUGAACCUUGUACCACAAGAGUAAAAGAAUUCAUGGCUGGAAAUGUAAACUUGGUAAAAAAAAAUUGGCUGAGAAGCUGUUAGAGCUGAAGGUUUGGGAGUAUCUAAGUGGAGUUUGAUUUUUUAAGGACAUGCUGUCAAUCUGUUUUUUAAAUAUUUAUGUUUGUACAUGUACAUUAGUGUUCUCCACUUUGGAUAUAAAAACUUCUAUGUGCAGUGGGCAUCAAUACAUGCAAUGUCUCAUAACUGGUCCAAAUGCUCAGAUUGAAUGUUCAAUGCUCAUCCAUAAGUAAGGUAUCUAUAAAUCCCUUGUAAGGUUCAGGAAAACCAGAGAAAGAGAGAUAAAAUGAAAGAAGUGAAAUGGGUGCUGGAGGCUGCUGUCUUCUGAACAUGACAAGGACAAGGAGAUCAUGAGUCAGUGAAGGUACAUUGAACUUAGAUAAUGACUUGUUUGAGGUUUCCAGGUUAAGUGUGUGGGAAACUGGGGUAGGUAAGAUCAAGAGAGAUGGUACACAGAUAAAAGAAUAAGUUAAUAAUAUUUAUAAAAAAAGUAAAAUCCACCACCUUUACAACACUUUGCCAUUUUCUGUAGAAUAAUAUAGAUACUUUUAGUGUCUUAUUUAGUAUCAGGUAUAAAGGUUUUGUGAUUCUAUUUCAUUUCCAGUACUGUGUAAACUAAAUAUACCCAUUUAACAAAUUAUAUUUCAGUAUACUUGGGGUUUACUAUAUGAAAUUUUAAACUAUUACAAAUUUCCUUUAAUUAUUACAUGAUUCAUAGGGAAUAAAUGCUUAUGAAGCAAACUUGUUGACUCCUCCCCUCUAUUAUUUCUGCAACGGACAUGUGUUUAACUUUUGUGCAACAAAUCUCUUAUUAAGUCCUCACUACCUUUGUAAAAGAAUUUAUCAGCUGGGGCAAAUAAAUAUGAGGGAAAGAGUGUUUUAUACAUUCAUUAUCAUUUUAUCAUCAUACUUUGUUCUCUCCAUUUAUGUUUUAGGUUCAAUUAAGAUCUGGUGUUAUAUUACAUGUAUCCUAUAUUUUGAAUUUCUUUAACAUUUUUAUAGUACUCAAAAACACUGAAUUUAUAAUCUCAUUUUCUGAUUCUUUAGUAAAAUUUUAAUUUGCCUAAACUAUAUUUACUAGCUUUCAAUUUUAGUCCUUGAAGGUGUGUGGUGUGGUGUUGUAUGUGUGUGCGUGCAUGCGGACAUAUGUGCAAGGUAGGUGUGUGUGUGUGUGUGUGUGUGUGUGUGUGUGUGAUGGUUUUUUUUAUAUCAGCACUUGAAACCUGUCAUUUCAAUAUCUUUUGCACAGCAUAGUUCCUAAUGAAUGUUAAAUAAACAGUACAGUGCCCUAAUUUUUAUUCCGAGUUAUUUUUCAGAAGGUCAAAAAUUUUAUACUUUUCA